UGAAUUUAAUUCUGGUAUGACAUACUGUAUUAAUGUUACCUCCAGUAAAUACAAUUCCCUCCAGAUUUAGCUAUUACACUUCGGUGUUAGCUCUUGGUCAGUGUUUUAGAACAGUAGACAUAGUCUACGGUAAGGAAUAGUCUUAAUUGGUAAAACUAAGAUAGCUGAAUUUGGAAGGAACUCUUUAAUAGUAAUGGAUUUGGGGAUUUUUUAGGUUCCUUGGUUAAUGUUUGUUUCUUUUGUCUGUUUCUUUUUCUUUCAUUUCUACACAUUCAUGCAGUAUUUCAUGGUUCUAUCAAAGCAGCAGUAAAAAAAAUACUCUUGACGCAUGAAAAUUAACUGGUGAGGGGCCUCAUUGCUAUUUUUAAAUUGUAGUUUUAUUUUUAAAUAGUCUUUUUUUAAUCAGAGGAUCAGAUGCAUGACUUUUUUUUUUUUAAUGGAUGCAGAUCUUCUAUCAGGUGUCUCACAAUAAAUUCAAGAGGAUUUUAGUUUGCCAGAAAUGUUGCAAAUGCACUAAUUUGAGUAAGAUGUUGAUACUGAAUAUAUCCUCUUGAGACAUAAUUUUGCAUGCAAAAUUAUCCCAUAAUCUUUGUAGGUUUGUUAAUAUUGAUGCAUUACUGCCCUAUAUCUAAAUGAUCUUCUCCCCCUUCCCCUCCAUAACUCUUGGUAUCUAAAUUGAUGACAGCUCUGACACAAGCAAGAUAACAGUGCUGUGUAGUAUACAUUUGUUUAUAUUAUCGGCACUUCUCAGUAUAGGUGGAAGGAACCAUUACCUUUAUUUAACAGUGGUUUUUCUUUUUUGUUGUUGUGUUUUACAGUUCUUUUCCCUGGUUCAGCCUGAACUAUAUACCAGGCCCUGCUGAAAAUACCACCCAACAGUUUUCUUCUGCAGCUUAUCCAGUUUCUCUUAAGUGCCCUGUACAUAUUGUAUGUUUUAUGAUGAGAUGCAGUUUCUUAAUAUGUAUUACAGAAAUACUACUGGUAUUUGCAAAUAUGUAGUUUAAUUGUAUUAUUGAACUCUCAUUUUGGGGGCUUGGGCACAUUAACAGAUUAAUCCAUCUGUAUAGGGCUUUUGCUGUUGGAUAGAAUUUAAAUUGUCUACAUAAAUAUUUGUUUUAGGACCCUUAGAUUUUAUCUGAAUACACAGAUUAGGCUUUAAAAACAGAUAUAUAUGUCAUUUUUGGCUUAAGGAGUUUGGCUAAGUUAGCUUUUCAACUGGCACUGUAUGGCAGCAUUUUUUGGUAUGGUUAGCAUGGCACAUGGCGAAACAUAAAGCAUUUUACUGUACAGGUAAGGAAUGUGCCAUGUUGUUUUACCUAUCUCUCUUUCUCUCUCACUCCCAUGCACACAUCCUGUGUGUAUUCAGAGACCUUCAGAAACAUUCAUAUUCAUUUUCAUGAGUCAGCAAAAGCCCUACGCUUGAUUCCAACAGAAUAUUUCCUUUACAUACUUUCUUCUCUUAAUUUUUACAAAAUUUGUAUGGUAGGUGUAAAAGAAAAUCAUAGUAACUGUACCAUAUUAUUAACCCCUAAAUCAAACUUUUUUUGUCUUGUGUAUCUUGAUUUUUCUGUGUGCUUUAUAGUGAAGCAGCCGACACGAGUCGUUGUUCAUAAAACAGCUUUUGAAAGUUGAGAGCACACCCCUGGAGAACCGACUGUGCUUGCUUACGUUUGGUUCAUGACUUAAAAAUCGAGUACAGGAGUUAUUCCUGAUGAAGCUAAAGCUUUGUCUCUGUUGGCACCAGCUAAUGCAGUGGCAGGUCUUCUGCCUGGUGGUGGACUCCUGCCUACUCCUAACCCACUUACCCAGAUUGGCGCUGUUCCACUGGCUGCUUUGGGGGCUCCUACUCUUGAUCCUGCCCUUGCUGCACUUGGGCUUCCUGGAGCAAACUUGAACUCUCAGUCUCUUGCUGCAGAUCAGUUGCUGAAGCUUAUGAGUACUGUUGAUCCCAAGUUGAAUCAUGUAGCUGCUGGUCUCGUUUCACCAAGUCUGAAAUCGGAUACCUCUAGUAAAGAAAUAGAGGAAGCUAUGAAAAGAGUACGAGAAGCACAGUCCCUAAUUUCUGCUGCUAUAGAACCAGAUAAGAAAGAAGAAAAAAGAAGGCAUUCAAGAUCAAGAUCACGUUCUAGGAGGAGGAGGACUCCCUCAUCUUCUAGACACAGGCGGUCAAGAAGCAGAUCGAGACGGCGGUCACAUUCUAAGUCUAGGAGUCGGCGACGAUCCAAAAGCCCAAGGCGAAGAAGAUCUCAUUCCAGAGAAAGAGGUAGAAGGUCAAGGAGCACAUCAAAAACAAGAGACAAAAAGAAAGAAGACAAAGAAAAGAAACGUUCUAAAACACCACCAAAAAGUUACAGCACAGCCAGACGUUCUAGAAGUGCAAGCAGAGAGAGACGACGACGAAGAAGCAGGAGUGGCACAAGAUCUCCUAAAAAGCCUCGGUCUCCUAAAAGAAAAUUGUCUCGCUCACCAUCCCCUAGGAGACAUAAAAAGGAGAAGAAGAAAGAUAAAGACAAAGAAAGAAGUAGGGAUGAAAGAGAACGAUCAACAAGCAAGAAGAAGAAGAGUAAAGAUAAGGAAAAGGACCGGGAAAGAAAAUCAGAGAGUGAUAAAGAUGUAAAACAGGUUACACGGGAUUAUGAUGAAGAGGAACAGGGGUAUGACAGUGAGAAAGAGAAAAAAGAAGAGAAGAAACCAAUAGAAACAGGUUCCCCUAAAACAAAGGAAUGUUCUGUGGAAAAGGGAACUGGUGAUUCACUAAGAGAAUCCAAAGUGAAUGGGGAUGAUCAUCAUGAAGAAGACAUGGAUAUGAGUGACUGAAUAUUGCCUCUGAGGGAAUCCAACUGUAUACCUGCAUCAGUGUCAUUCCUUUGUGUGAUUUCUUAAUGCUGUAUUUGUUCAUCUCAAACCUAGAUGUAUACAGCUCUGAGUUAUAAAUGGUUAUAAAGCUCCUGUUACUGAUAUUAGUUAUUUACAUCAAAAAGCUUUUAGAAAAUGGUACGAGGUAACCAAUUCUUGUCAUGGUGAAAUCUGAUUGAGUAACCAAGCAGUUUUACUAUUCUGGUGCUGCUUCAUAACAAAAAUGAAAAGCUGCAUGCAUCUACAGCAGGCAUGGAUUGUUUAUGUCGUAUGAUAUCCUUUAUUAAGUAAGUUCACUUAUAGUAUUUCUAUAAUUUGAUUCAUUGCCGUAAUAGAGCCAUGUAGGAAAUGCACUGAUUGCAUGUUAUUGUGGCAAGAAUAUCCUAAAUGUCAUUAAAAUCCUCCAACAUGAUGGAUCUACUUAUGGUCUUGUUUGUUGACAUGACAAAUUAACAUUCUUAUAGUUACAUCUGGAAAUGAGCAUUUGAAAUAGAUAAUCCUUUAAGCCUUGUGGCAAAAUUUUUGUGGCUUUUGUUUAACUUUGAAAGGUUAUUAUGCACUAACCUUUUUUGGUGGCUAAUUAGGGUUUACAUACAGAAACAAGAUUUCAAAUAAAACUGUCUUUGGCAGUGAGUAAAUAGCAUAUUUUGAAGUAGAGUUGUAUACUUUUUCAUAAGAUGUUUGGGAAUUUUUUUCCUGAAGUAAUAAUUUAUUCCACAUCUACAUCAGUGAAAGCUAUCUACCUAUCCUGAGUCUAUCUUAAAGGAAAAAAAGGAAGAAAAAAAAAACCUUAUCUCUUGCCCUUAUUUUGAAUUUUCCACUCUUUCAUUAAUUUGUUUUAAGCUCCGUGUUGGAAAAAAGGGGUAGUGCAUUUUAAAUUGACCUUCAUACGCUUUUAAAAUAAGACAAAUCUACUUGAUAAUGUACCUUUAUUUGAUCUCAAGUUGUAUAAAACCAAUAAAUUUGUGUUACUGCAGUAGUAAUCUUAUGCACACGGUGAUUUCAUGUUAUAUAUGCAAAGUAGGUAACUGUUUUCUUAGUUACAGAAGUUUCAAGCUUCACUUUUGUGCAGUAGAAACAAAAGUAGGCUACAGUCUGUGCCAUGUUGAUGUACAGUUUCUGAAAUUGUUUUACAAGACUUUGAUAAUAAAACCCUUAAA
Molecule: small RNA, 4016 nt
Filed under: Pan troglodytes (chimpanzee)
Lineage: Eukaryota; Metazoa; Chordata; Mammalia; Primates; Hominidae
Description: processed transcript
Source: RNAcentral